RNAcentral lists this ribosomal RNA (467 nucleotides) under uncultured bacterium. RNAcentral describes it as "partial 16S ribosomal RNA". It matches the Rfam family "Bacterial small subunit ribosomal RNA", at positions 28 to 507 of the family's 1533-position model. The record is from RNAcentral.
GACGAACGCUGGCGGCGUGCUUAACACAUGCAAGUCGAACGGAAAGGCCCUGCUUUUGUGGGGUGCUCGAGUGGCGAACGGGUGAGUAACACGUGAGUAACCUGCCCUUGACUUUGGGAUAACUUCAGGAAACUGGGGCUAAUACCGGAUAGGAGCUCCUGCUGCAUGGUGGGGGUUGGAAAGUUUCGGCGGUUGGGGAUGGACUCGCGGCUUAUCAGCUUGUUGGUGGGGUAGUGGCUUACCAAGGCUUUGACGGGUAGCCGGCCUGAGAGGGUGACCGGCCACAUGGGGACUGAGAUACGGCCAGACUCCUACGGGAGGCAGCAGUGGGGAAUAUUGCACAAUGGGCGGAAGCCUGAUGCAGCAACGCCGCGUGCGGGAUGACGGCCUUCGGGUUGUAAACCGCUUUCGCCUGUGACGAAGCGUGAGUGACGGUAAUGGGUAAAGAAGCACCGGCUAACUACGUG